GACGAACGCUGGCGGCGUGCUUAACACAUGCAAGUCGAACGGUGAAGCGCCUUCCUUUUUGGUGGGUGUGGAUGAGUGGCGAACGGGUGAGUAACACGUGAGUAACCUGCCCCCUUCUUCUGGAUAACCGCAUGAAAGUGUGGCUAAUACGGGAUAUUCUGGUUCUGUCGCAUGAUGGGUCUGGGAAAGAUAUUGUUUCGGUGGGGGAUGGGCUCGCGGCCUAUCAGCUUGUUGGUGGGGUGAUGGCCUACCAAGGCGGUGACGGGUAGCCGGCGUGAGGGGGUGGACGGUCACACUGGGAAUGAGACACGGCCAAGACUCCUACGGGAGGCAGCAGUGGGGAAUAUUGCACGAUGGGCGCAAGCCUGAUGCAGCGACGCCGCGUGAGGGAUGGAGGCCUUCGGGUUGUGAACCUCUUUCGCCAGUGAAGCAGGCCUGCCUCGUUUGUGGGUGGGUUGACGGUAGCUGGAUAAGAAGCGCCGGCUAACUACGUG
This 494-nucleotide ribosomal RNA is filed under the name uncultured bacterium. Its description in RNAcentral is "partial 16S ribosomal RNA". It matches the Rfam family "Bacterial small subunit ribosomal RNA", at positions 28 to 507 of the family's 1533-position model. The record is from RNAcentral.